Molecule: ribosomal RNA, 496 nt
Filed under: uncultured bacterium
Lineage: Bacteria
Description: partial 16S ribosomal RNA
Rfam family: Bacterial small subunit ribosomal RNA
Source: RNAcentral
AUGCACGCUGGCGGCGUGCCUAAUACAUGCAAGUCGAGCGAACGGACGAGAAGCUUGCUUCUCUGAUGUUAGCGGCGGACGGGUGAGUAACACGUGGAUAACCUACCUAUAAGACUGGGAUAACUUCGGGAAACCGGAGCUAAUACCGGAUAAUAUUUUGAACCGCAUGGUUCAAAAGUGAAAGACGGUCUUGCUGUCACUUAUAGAUGGAUCCGCGCUGCAUUAGCUAGUUGGUAAGGUAACGGCUUACCAAGGCAACGAUGCAUAGCCGACCUGAGAGGGUGAUCGGCCACACUGGAACUGAGACACGGUCCAGACUCCUACGGGAGGCAGCAGUAGGGAAUCUUCCGCAAUGGGCGAAAGCCUGACGGAGCAGCGCCGCGUGAGUGAUGAAGGUCUUCGGAUCGUAAAACUCUGUUAUUAGGGAAGAACAUAUGUGUAAGUAACUGUGCACAUCUUGACGGUACCUAAUCAGAAAGCCACGGCUAACUACGUG